UUAAGCGACUAAGCGUACACGGUGGAUGCCCUGGCAGUCAGAGGCGAUGAAGGACGUGCUAAUCUGCGAUAAGCGUCGGUAAGGUGAUAUGAACCGUUAUAACCGGCGAUUUCCGAAUGGGGAAACCCAGUGUGUUUCGACACACUAUCAUUAACUGAAUCCAUAGGUUAAUGAGGCGAACCGGGGGAACUGAAACAUCUAAGUACCCCGAGGAAAAGAAAUCAACCGAGAUUCCCCCAGUAGCGGCGAGCGAACGGGGAGCAGCCCAGAGCCUGAAUCAGUGUGUGUGUUAGUGGAAGCGUCUGGAAAGGCGCGCGAUACAGGGUGACAGCCCCGUACACAAAAAUGCACAUGCUGUGAGCUCGAUGAGUAGGGCGGGACACGUGGUAUCCUGUCUGAAUAUGGGGGGACCAUCCUCCAAGGCUAAAUACUCCUGACUGACCGAUAGUGAACCAGUACCGUGAGGGAAAGGCGAAAAGAACCCCGGCGAGGGGAGUGAAAAAGAACCUGAAACCGUGUACGUACAAGCAGUGGGAGCACGCUUAGGCGUGUGACUGCGUACCUUUUGUAUAAUGGGUCAGCGACUUAUAUUCUGUAGCAAGGUUAACCGAAUAGGGGAGCCGAAGGGAAACCGAGUCUUAACUGGGCGUUAAGUUGCAGGGUAUAGACCCGAAACCCGGUGAUCUAGCCAUGGGCAGGUUGAAGGUUGGGUAACACUAACUGGAGGACCGAACCGACUAAUGUUGAAAAAUUAGCGGAUGACUUGUGGCUGGGGGUGAAAGGCCAAUCAAACCGGGAGAUAGCUGGUUCUCCCCGAAAGCUAUUUAGGUAGCGCCUCGUGAAUUCAUCUCCGGGGGUAGAGCACUGUUUCGGCAAGGGGGUCAUCCCGACUUACCAACCCGAUGCAAACUGCGAAUACCGGAGAAUGUUAUCACGGGAGACACACGGCGGGUGCUAACGUCCGUCGUGAAGAGGGAAACAACCCAGACCGCCAGCUAAGGUCCCAAAGUCAUGGUUAAGUGGGAAACGAUGUGGGAAGGCCCAGACAGCCAGGAUGUUGGCUUAGAAGCAGCCAUCAUUUAAAGAAAGCGUAAUAGCUCACUGGUCGAGUCGGCCUGCGCGGAAGAUGUAACGGGGCUAAACCAUGCACCGAAGCUGCGGCAGCGACACUAUGUGUUGUUGGGUAGGGGAGCGUUCUGUAAGCCUGUGAAGGUGUGCUGUGAGGCAUGCUGGAGGUAUCAGAAGUGCGAAUGCUGACAUAAGUAACGAUAAAGCGGGUGAAAAGCCCGCUCGCCGGAAGACCAAGGGUUCCUGUCCAACGUUAAUCGGGGCAGGGUGAGUCGACCCCUAAGGCGAGGCCGAAAGGCGUAGUCGAUGGGAAACAGGUUAAUAUUCCUGUACUUGGUGUUACUGCGAAGGGGGGACGGAGAAGGCUAUGUUGGCCGGGCGACGGUUGUCCCGGUUUAAGCGUGUAGGCUGGUUUUCCAGGCAAAUCCGGAAAAUCAAGGCUGAGGCGUGAUGACGAGGCACUACGGUGCUGAAGCAACAAAUGCCCUGCUUCCAGGAAAAGCCUCUAAGCAUCAGGUAACAUCAAAUCGUACCCCAAACCGACACAGGUGGUCAGGUAGAGAAUACCAAGGCGCUUGAGAGAACUCGGGUGAAGGAACUAGGCAAAAUGGUGCCGUAACUUCGGGAGAAGGCACGCUGAUAUGUAGGUGAAGCGACUUGCUCGUGGAGCUGAAAUCAGUCGAAGAUACCAGCUGGCUGCAACUGUUUAUUAAAAACACAGCACUGUGCAAACACGAAAGUGGACGUAUACGGUGUGACGCCUGCCCGGUGCCGGAAGGUUAAUUGAUGGGGUCAGCGCAAGCGAAGCUCUUGAUCGAAGCCCCGGUAAACGGCGGCCGUAACUAUAACGGUCCUAAGGUAGCGAAAUUCCUUGUCGGGUAAGUUCCGACCUGCACGAAUGGCGUAAUGAUGGCCAGGCUGUCUCCACCCGAGACUCAGUGAAAUUGAACUCGCUGUGAAGAUGCAGUGUACCCGCGGCAAGACGGAAAGACCCCGUGAACCUUUACUAUAGCUUGACACUGAACAUUGAGCCUUGAUGUGUAGGAUAGGUGGGAGGCUUGGAAGUGUGGACGCCAGUCUGCAUGGAGCCGACCUUGAAAUACCACCCUUUAAUGUUUGAUGUUCUAACGUUGACCCGUAAUCCGGGUUGCGGACAGUGUCUGGUGGGUAGUUUGACUGGGGCGGUCUCCUCCUAAAGAGUAACGGAGGAGCACGAAGGUUGGCUAAUCCUGGUCGGACAUCAGGAGGUUAGUGCAAUGGCAUAAGCCAGCUUGACUGCGAGCGUGACGGCGCGAGCAGGUGCGAAAGCAGGUCAUAGUGAUCCGGUGGUUCUGAAUGGAAGGGCCAUCGCUCAACGGAUAAAAGGUACUCCGGGGAUAACAGGCUGAUACCGCCCAAGAGUUCAUAUCGACGGCGGUGUUUGGCACCUCGAUGUCGGCUCAUCACAUCCUGGGGCUGAAGUAGGUCCCAAGGGUAUGGCUGUUCGCCAUUUAAAGUGGUACGCGAGCUGGGUUUAGAACGUCGUGAGACAGUUCGGUCCCUAUCUGCCGUGGGCGCUGGAGAACUGAGGGGGGCUGCUCCUAGUACGAGAGGACCGGAGUGGACGCAUCACUGGUGUUCGGGUUGUCAUGCCAAUGGCACUGCCCGGUAGCUAAAUGCGGAAGAGAUAAGUGCUGAAAGCAUCUAAGCACGAAACUUGCCCCGAGAUGAGUUCUCCCUGACCCUUUAAGGGUCCUGAAGGAACGUUGAAGACGACGACGUUGAUAGGCCGGGUGUGUAAGCGCAGCGAUGCGUUGAGCUAACCGGUACUAAUGAACCGUGAGGCUUAACCUU
This 2901-nucleotide ribosomal RNA is filed under the name Escherichia coli. Its description in RNAcentral is "bacterial LSU rRNA". It matches the Rfam family "Bacterial large subunit ribosomal RNA". The record is from RNAcentral. Lineage: Bacteria; Pseudomonadati; Pseudomonadota; Gammaproteobacteria; Enterobacterales; Enterobacteriaceae.